Molecule: ribosomal RNA, 404 nt
Filed under: Fusobacteriota bacterium
Lineage: Bacteria; Fusobacteriati; Fusobacteriota
Description: Fusobacteria bacterium partial 16S ribosomal RNA
Rfam family: Bacterial small subunit ribosomal RNA
Source: RNAcentral
UGGGGAAUAUUGCACAAUGGAGGGAACUCUGAUGCAGCGACGCUGCGUGAGUGAUGAAGGACUUCGUUUCGUAAAACUCUGUUCUAUGGGAAGAAAAGGACUGUACCAUAGGAGAAAGCUCCGGCUAAAUACGUGCCAGCAGCCGCGGUAAUACGUAUGGAGCGAGCGUUGUCCGGAAUUAUUGGGCGUAAAGGGUGCGCAGGCGGCUUUACAAGUUGGAUGUGAAAUAUUGUGGCUCAACCACAAACGUGCAUCCAAAACUGCAAAGCUUGAGUUAAGGAGAGGUAAGUGGAAUUCCUGGUGUAGCGGUGGAAUGCGUAGAUAUCAGGAGGAAUACCGGUGGCGAAGGCGACUUACUGGGCUUAAACUGACGCUCAGGCACGAAAGCGUGGGGAGCAAACAGG